Long non-coding RNA from Rhododendron vialii, 672 nucleotides. RefSeq lists it as uncharacterized. The transcript has 4 exons. The record is from RefSeq and is a predicted model, not a curated record. NCBI's taxonomy places the organism in Eukaryota, Viridiplantae, Streptophyta, Magnoliopsida, Ericales, Ericaceae.
UAAAAAAAAACCACCAAACCCACAUUCUCAGUCUUUCACCGAAGAAACUCCCCAAAAACGAAAACCUUCUCUCGCUCCCUCGACCAUCAAAACCCUCUUUCCCCUGCGGCGGAGACUGCUCUCUCUCUCUCUCUCUCUCUCUCUCUCUCAGUCAUGUUCUAUGUACGCGGUCUUCUAGGGUUUACCAGCUUUUUGGUGUACUACUGAUCUCGGUAUUUCUUCAGAUUUGUUAGUGGUUCGCUGUUGUUUGUGGGAAAUCUGUGGUCUCUUUCGAUCUGUUGUGUUCAAGGACUAUCUCCAUUCUCGAUCCAUGCUGUCAUCCUGCCCUGGUGCUGAGCUUUCUUCUCAGUGUGACCCUGUCGAUCGGUUGCUUCCGGUCCUCUCUUUCGGAUCUCUCUCUGCUUUGAGGAAAGGUGGUCUUUGAUUUGGUUCUGCAAUAGUGAAUAACUAGAUGGAAUUAAAGAAGAAAUCUUUUUUCUUCUUCGUCACUACAUAAUCAGGUAUCUCAAUUGGUAUACGUGUUCUUACUUUCCUUAGAAUCACUAUUUUUCCUCAUUCUAUGGUUUUUUUCUUUCUUACUUUCCUUAGAAUCACCAUGAAUUCGAACAAAAAUUUUCCGUCCACUACCAUGAAUUCAAACAAAAAUAAGAUUAUGGUUAUGGUUGUUACAGC